RNAcentral lists this transfer RNA (68 nucleotides) under Rattus hoogerwerfi (Hoogerwerf's rat). RNAcentral describes it as "tRNA-Asp". Lineage: Eukaryota; Metazoa; Chordata; Mammalia; Rodentia; Muridae. The record is from RNAcentral.
GAGAUAUUAGUAAAAUGAUUACAUAACCUUGUCAAGGUUAAAUUAUAGACUUGAAUCUAUAUAUCUUA